ACGAACGCUGGCGGCGUGCUUAACACAUGCAAGUCGAACGGAAAGGCCCUGCUUUUGUGGGGUGCUCGAGUGGCGAACGGGUGAGUAACACGUGAGUAACCUGCCCUUGACUUUGGGAUAACUUCAGGAAACUGGGGCUAAUACCGGAUAGGAGCUCCUGCUGCAUGGUGGGGGUUGGAAAGUUUCGGCGGUUGGGGAUGGACUCGCGGCUUAUCAGCUUGUUGGUGGGGUAGUGGCUUACCAAGGCUUUGACGGGUAGCCGGCCCGAGAGGGUGACCGGCCACAUUGGGACUGAGAUACGGCCCAAACUCCUACGGGAGGCAGCAGUGGGGAAUAUUGCACAAUGGGCGGAAGCCUGAUGCAGCAACGCCGCGUGCGGGAUGACGGCCUUCGGGUUGUAAACCGCUUUCGCCUGUGACGAAGCGUGAGUGACGGUAAUGGGUAAAGAAGCACCGGCUAACUACGUG
RNAcentral lists this ribosomal RNA (467 nucleotides) under uncultured bacterium. RNAcentral's name for it is "partial 16S ribosomal RNA". It matches the Rfam family "Bacterial small subunit ribosomal RNA", at positions 29 to 507 of the family's 1533-position model. The record is from RNAcentral.